Molecule: transfer RNA, 71 nt
Filed under: Erysipelotrichaceae bacterium
Lineage: Bacteria; Bacillati; Bacillota; Erysipelotrichia; Erysipelotrichales; Erysipelotrichaceae
Description: tRNA-Arg
Rfam family: tRNA
About the family: Transfer RNA (tRNA) molecules are approximately 80 nucleotides in length.
Source: RNAcentral
GUAGCUCAGCUGGAUAGAGCAUCCGCCUUCUAAGCGGCAGGUCAAGGGUUCGAAUCCCUUCAUGGACGCCA